AUCGUCCUGCAUAUGUUAUUAACAAAAAAUACACAAAGAAAGAAAUAGCGAAAGAUAAUAGAAAAAAAAAUACACAGAAAAAAAGACAGCGAUUUACGUAGUUCGGCAAGUGGCUUACGUCCACGGGAGAGCGAGAGAUGUAUCCUUUAUAUGAAGAAAAUAAAAAAUACAAUCCCAAACCUUUAUAUUUCUCUCAAUCUAAUACAAGAGCCUUACGGUUAGUACUACCCUUCUCUUGUUACAACAAAUAAGAGAAACUCAACAAGCUACUAAUUAAGUUUCUAGGCUUCUCCUAAUACCUCACUUAAUUUACUC
RNAcentral lists this long non-coding RNA (315 nucleotides) under Ananas comosus (pineapple). RNAcentral's name for it is "long non-coding RNA (ACOM_LNC002384)". The record is from RNAcentral. Lineage: Eukaryota; Viridiplantae; Streptophyta; Magnoliopsida; Poales; Bromeliaceae.